CUAAUAGGAAGGAGCAUUUAAAAGUGGUGGUAAUGUCAGCAACUAUGGAAUUAGCCAAGCUCUCUGCAUUCUUUGGAAAUUGUCCAAUAUUUGAUAUACCUGGAAGGCUUUAUCCAGUCAGAGAGAAAUUCUGCAAUUUGAUUGGUCCACGAGACAGAGAAAAUACUGCGUAUAUUCAAGCGGUAUUACUUGGCAUUCAUUUAAUGUCUUUUUUAAAUAUCUAUGAUUCUUACUAAUUGGGUGGUUUGAUAAUUCAUUUGUUCACUACUAUUUUAAUGACAGUCCUCACAGGUCCUAGAACUUUUAAGAACCAAAUUUAAUUUUUCUGUGGGGCAAGGGAAGUGGUGGUAAGGGAAUGACUGUAUUUCCACUAGCAUAUUAUGCCUGCAUUUCUUGCUUUAGAUUGUGAAAGUCACCAUGGAUAUCCAUUUGAAUGAAAUGGCUGGAGACAUCUUGGUUUUUCUGACUGGCCAGUUUGAAAUAGAAAAAAGUUGUGAGUUACUUUUUCAGAUGGCAGAGUCUGUUGAUUAUGAUUAUGAUGUUCAAGAUACCA
This 553-nucleotide long non-coding RNA is filed under the name Homo sapiens (human). Its description in RNAcentral is "HSALNT0390888". The record is from RNAcentral. Lineage: Eukaryota; Metazoa; Chordata; Mammalia; Primates; Hominidae.